This 1019-nucleotide long non-coding RNA is filed under the name Carica papaya (papaya). RNAcentral's name for it is "long non-coding RNA (CPAP_LNC009716)". The record is from RNAcentral. Lineage: Eukaryota; Viridiplantae; Streptophyta; Magnoliopsida; Brassicales; Caricaceae.
AUUGAUCGAGUAUUCAUCUCCCUCUCGCAAUCGUCUUCUCAGCAUGACAACCAAAAUCGCGUCUUGUUAUCACCGCCGGACCCCCUAGCCGGUGAAUUUACCGAUAAAUCUCGCCGGAAAUGAUGCGGAAGAAAUGGAAACGAGAACGCAGCAGAUCAUCAUAUUAUAUGUAGUCUUCAAGAUUCGCAUCUUGAAGAAGGUGCUGUUUAUGACGAUCAAUGUCGUAACCAACAUAAUCAUCAAGAUAGGUUAUUGGGAAUGCCUUCUUGCUUUGUUCGCCUCUCAGCGGUCACGGCUUAGAUUUGCAGUGAAGAAAAUAACAGUUAUAGCGAGGGGAGUCAUCAAGGUCAGUUUUCUUUUUCUUUUUCUUUUGUUUUUUUCUCAGGAAAGAAAAUUAACCUUGACGCUUACAACUAGCAAUGCUUAUCGCGAUGAUAAUGUUGGUUGUGAUCUUCCGUCUCCAGUUCUUCCGCGGCCUUUCCGUCUCUAUUAGCCAUCUGUAUAAUGUGCUUUUGUUUUAUAAAUAGAAUUUUUUAGCAGACACUGAGAAUAGUCGUAACCCAGAUAUGGCAAUCUACAAUCCAAGCACAAUCCAUUGGGCAGAAACAAGGAACCACAAAAUCUUGAUUUCUAAGGAAAUCUGGGAGUAGUUUUAAUCUUCUUUUACAGAGGAGUGAACAAGUUCUUUGGACUUACUGAGGGUUCUCUGCUAUUCAGAUUCUAUCAGAGCUUGCCUUUUCUUUUCUCCUGUUCUUUCCUUUUCUCAAAGUUCUUUAGCCUUUCUUUUUUUUUUUUUUUGUUUUCUCCUUUAAAAUGCUGAAACAUUUGAUUAAAAGUGUAUAUAUUCUUUCUUGCUUGUCAACAUUCUUUCCAGUAAUCUAUUUCAUAUUAGAACCUAAUGGUGCCUUUUGAAUAAGAAAUUGAUUUCUUAGUUUCUUUGUCAUAAUAUGAUGUGCCAAUCGAAUCAAGGGCCACGGCGGGCAGAUUAUAAAAGGAAACCUUCAAUGUUUUUUGGACAG